Coprinopsis sp. MPI-PUGE-AT-0042 is the source of this 116-nucleotide non-coding RNA. NCBI's taxonomy places the organism in Eukaryota, Fungi, Basidiomycota, Agaricomycetes, Agaricales, Psathyrellaceae. The record is from the annotation of a GenBank genome assembly.
GACACUAUAGCCAAAUGGUUACGGCGACAGAUUAGAAUAGCCCAAUCGAUCGUGUGCGAUAUUUACGUUCAUCUGUUCCUCGUUGGAGGGCGCAGGUUCGAAUCCUGCUAGUGUCG